GUAUGUGAAGUAGUACUCUAAAGAUCUUACUUUUAAAAGGUAAGUUAAACACACACAAAAAGGUGUUCUCAGGGUGUUGUCAAGGGAGGCUUGGUGCAUGGUUUAAUUUCCUGAGAGGGGACUCAGGGGUUGGAGAAGCAUUCCUCCUUAGAAUCAUAGAAUUGUAGUGUUGGAAGGGACCUUAAGAGUCAUCUAGCCCGACCCUCAUGCAAUGCUGGAAUCUUUUGCUUAACAUGCAGCUUGAACCCACAACCCUGAGAUUAAAAGUCUCUACCAUUCUAAGUAUGUGGGACAUGCUGCUUUUGCUUAUGACUGAGAAAAAAGGCAGUCUGUUUAUGAUUGGGGCACUCCUGUUUAAAUUACAAUAUUACUUCAAAUCAAUUUUGUCAGAGAUGGCAUUGGUAGGCCAUCUGCUUUGCAUGCCUAAGGCAUUGGGUUCAAGCCAUGGUGGCGUUCCCUGGUGAGCUGUACAGGUGAGCAGGAAUUCAAACAGGGUGAGAUCCAGAUUCCAAGUCCAACAUGACAGACACUACAUCACACCACACCCCAGUCUCAUCUUUCUGGAUGUCUGUGUUGGCAGAUACAGUAUUCUGAGAUAGCUGGGUUGGUCAAGGCAAAUUAAUGAUGCAACAUAGAUCUAACUCUUAUAUUUUUGCCCAGUCUUUCUUUGAAGGAGCUCAGGGUGGCCUUGCGGUUUCCUCUUGCCCAUUUUUAUCCUCACUACAAACCUUUGAGGUAGGUGAAUCUGAAAGAGAAUACCUAACUGGCCCAAGGCCACCAAGUGAAUUUAAUGGCUAAGCGGGAAUUCAAACUGGGUGAAACCCAGAUUCAAAGUCCCAAUGCUAUGGCCACUCUGUCACACUGGCCUCCACGUAUGCCAACUUGCUGUUAUACUGAAGGACUGUUAGCUGUGAACAUUUUAAAACAGCAAACCCAUUCAGUGCAAGAACAUGCAUAGUCACACACAAACACUGAAACUCCUCAAGUGACAUGGGGACCAAGGGUGGGGAACUUCGGGCCCAGGUGCCAAAUGCGGCCCUCAGAAUCUCACUGCCUGGUCCUUGGGACCCUCCCCACACCACUCCCCUUCCCCAGCCACGCCCCCUCUUCCCUGGCCACUUUCCUUACUGCCCCUGCUUUGCGUCCUUGGCUGGAGGAUUUUAACCUUACAAUUAUUUAUUAAAGGCCCCUCCCUAGCCUUUUCUUUAGUACUCAGAUGCCAAACCCUAGGGCUACACAACCUGUUUUGUGACAUCAGAGCAGCUCAGCCAAUGGCAGAAAAGAGGGUGUGUAUGAGACACAGACACCUCUGUUUGUUCAGCCACACUCUCUCACACACUUCUUUCUAACAGGCCAUGGGCAUAACAGUCUGCUAAAUAAUUGACACCCCCCCUUCACUGUUUGUACUUGGCGUGGGAAUGCAUUAUAGAAAGGGCAGGGAACAAAAAGAGUUGACAAAGAUGCAACAGGCUCAUCCCAGAGGCAACAAUCCAGUUAUUGGGAUUUCCCAUCUACACACACGUCUCUUUUUUGUCUUUUUUUAAAAAAGUAAGGUAAAUUAGGAUGAUGAAAUCUACCUCUCUCUAACCUGACAGCAAUUUUUCAGCAUGGGAAAACUGUGCUGUACUGAUGCCCAGAUGUUGUCGCUGCAGAUGAGGUUGAUCAGAUGUAAACUACUAAGGUUAUUUUCCCCAGAAGGAAUCAGUAUCCAUCUGCUUUGUGUGUGUGUGUGGUGUUGUUCUGCGUAGCUAGAAUUUUAGCAUUUGGCAUCAACACCAAGUCUCCCCACCAUCGCACCUGAAUAUUUUUAAGGGGUAUGUGAGCCAAGUGGCCUAGGUUUUCACAGAAUGUCCACCACCUGCUGAUUUGAGAGAAGGAUGGGGAACCUGUGGUUGCCUACCUAUGUCUCAGGUCACACCCACACCAUACAUUUAAAGCACAUGGCUUUCCCCAAAGAAUUCUGAGAACUGAGGUUUAAGAGUGCUGGGAAUUUUAGCUCUGUGAAGCAUCGACUGCAGUUCCCAGGAUUCCAUGGGGGAAGCCACUUAUUUUAAAUACUUGUGAAAGCUCUGCAAAUGUAUGGUGUGGAACCGCCUUGUUUUUAUGAACAGUGGCAUAGUGAAGCAGGAAGGGAGUGCAGGCACUUAUUUCACAGCAGGGAUGAUGAUGUUGCCUCCUAGGGUUUUAUUUGCCAAUCAAUAAGCUUUUCUCAGAGAGAAACCAACCAAAUAAGCCAAGCAGAAGAACAGGUAACUUACAUGAGCAUGCAUGCUAAGAGUUAAACUGACACUUUUUUUGGGGGGGGGGGGGAUGAUGACAUAAAAAUCCUUUUAUUAUGACCAAAGUGAUCCAAAAUGGUGGGCAAGCUUUUAAGUCCACCAGAACUUAUUACCAGGCCAGAUAUUAAGUUUGAGGCAGGGGAAGCCAACUUUGUAUUCAAGCUAUAUAACAUCCAUAUUGGUCAAAAAAUCAUUUCUGUUGAAUAGUUUUAGGGUGCUUCCAGAUAAGCUGUUCAUUGUGCAUUUAUCCUUAUUUGAUUGCAGGGAGGUUAGACAAUGUUGGCUAUUUGUGUGUGGGGGGGGGGAGCAGUCUGUGGGGAAGAGUUUGUUGUGAGUGGGCUCCCAAAUCAACUUUUAAUUGUGCAACCAGAAUUUGCCAGCAUGUGAUGGAAUAUCACCCCAAAAUAGUGCUAGCCUGCACGUGACCUUAGAACCAUGACAAUGAGGGCCUUCAUAUCAGAAUUUAGCACUACAACACUGCUUAUGAAUCUUGUCGUGAUGCUAAGUCUCUGAACAACAGAGCUGGCAACAUUUGGGAGCUGAACCCCUUGGCAGCUAUUAUAUAGAUCUGAUCUGGCAGUGCGUGGGACAGGAUGGAUGGAGCUGGGUGUGUGUUGCGAUGCUUCCGAGUAAAUUCAGCUUCCAUUCACCACAUAACC
Podarcis lilfordi (Lilford's wall lizard) is the source of this 2938-nucleotide non-coding RNA. The record is from the annotation of a GenBank genome assembly. Lineage: Eukaryota; Metazoa; Chordata; Lepidosauria; Squamata; Lacertidae.